GAUCCCAGCUUGCUGGGGGAUUAGUGGCGAACGGGUGAGUAACACGUGAGUAACCUGCCCUUAACUCUGGGAUAAGCCUGGGAAACUGGGUCUAAUACCGGAUAUGACUCCUCAUCGCAUGGUGGGGGGUGGAAAGCUUUAUUGUGGUUUUGGAUGGACUCGCGGCCUAUCAGCUUGUUGGUGAGGUAAUGGCUCACCAAGGCGACGACGGGUAGCCGGCCUGAGAGGGUGACCGGCCACACUGGGACUGAGACACGGCCCAGACUCCUACGGGAGGCAGCAGUGGGGAAUAUUGCACAAUGGGCGAAAGCCUGAUGCAGCGACGCCGCGUGAGGGAUGACGGCCUUCGGGUUGUAAACCUCUUUCAGUAGGGAAGAAGCGAAAGUGACGGUACCUGCAGAAGAAGCGCCGGCUAACUACGUGCCAGCAGCCGCGGUAAUACGUAGGGCGCAAGCGUUAUCCGGAAUUAUUGGGCGUAAAGAGCUCGUAGGCGGUUUGUCGCGUCUGCCGUGAAAGUCCGGGGCUCAACUCCGGAUCUGCGGUGGGUACGGGCAGACUAGAGUGAUGUAGGGGAGACUGGAAUUCCUGGUGUAGCGGUGAAAUGCGCAGAUAUCAGGAGGAACACCGAUGGCGAAGGCAGGUCUCUGGGCAUUAACUGACGCUGAGGAGCGAAAGCAUGGGGAGCGAACAGGAUUAGAUACCCUGGUAGUCCAUGCCGUANACGUUGGGCACUAGGUGUGGGGGACAUUCNACGUUUUCCGCGCCGUAGCUAACGCAUUAAGUGCCCCG
Molecule: ribosomal RNA, 789 nt
Filed under: uncultured bacterium
Lineage: Bacteria
Description: bacterial SSU rRNA
Rfam family: Bacterial small subunit ribosomal RNA
Source: RNAcentral